RNAcentral lists this long non-coding RNA (1326 nucleotides) under Heterocephalus glaber (naked mole-rat). Its description in RNAcentral is "lncRNA (ENSHGLG00000045809.1)". Lineage: Eukaryota; Metazoa; Chordata; Mammalia; Rodentia; Bathyergidae. The record is from RNAcentral.
GGGAUGGGGGCUGCAAUGAAGCGCACUACACUGGCUUCAGCUCUGGAGAGGAGUCUCCGGGGGUUGAGUCAGGCUGGCUGGGUCCUAGAGCCCCAGGAAGGGGUGCGAGGAGUGAAGGGGCUGCCAGGAACAGGGAAGGAAUGAGCAAGGAGAGAAGUCAGGGGUCCAGAGAACAGGGCUUUGAGGGUUCUGAAGGAGUUUGGGGUCUUUGGCUAGGACAGGGUUUCCUUCUGGUGAUAGGGCUCCAGGUGAGGGCUGGAGCAAGGGGAAGCCUAGGGAGGUGGGACGGUAGGGCAGCAGUCAGCUUGAUAGCUGGGCAGCUGGGAAUUCCAGAAGGCAGAAGUGAGGAGGGGGGAUGGAGCUGCUUGGCCGAGUUGGGGACCUAGGGCCCCUGGCCGGUGGCUGGGUGCCAAGCAGCAUUGAAUAGCAUGGCGAGGGCCGGGCCGGCUGUGGCCCUUUGUCUUCCAGGCCCAGUCUGGAGAGGUACGAGGCUUCCAGGGAGGUGGGGUGGCUGGUGACUGCGCGGGCUGCAGGAAAGGGUUGGUCCCUCUCCCAGAUUCCUGGCGUGGCUUUUGGCAGCCCGGCCAAAGUGUGAGGGCUUGCCAGGGUGUUCCCAGCUGAGGGAGCCUUGUAUGUGAGGACCUUGGAGAGGUCCCGGGGGACUGAGGAUGUGGGAUAGGAAGGGGGCUGCCGAAGACUACCUGUCGUUCCCCAUCGUGUGUGACUGGGGGUGGGGCGUGGUAUGAGGUCAUCACUUGGAUUCAUGCUAAGCCCUCUCCCGGGCCAGCUGCUAGGGAGACUUCUUUAGGCUUUUUUCAGCCUCUGCCAGUGUCACUGGCCCUUUCUGGGCCACAGCUUCCUGAGCUUCAGGGGAGGGAGUCCCCCUGUCCUCCCCUGGGCUGGAUUUGAGCAUCUUACAUGUAAACGCUGAUGAGGACUCCUGCUACCCCCUCACCACACACACUGGCCACUGCCACCCUUUCUGAGGCUCAUAAGUGCACCCUCUGAGGGCUGGCCAGCUGCUCCGAGCCAGGAGGGAGUCUGUCACCUGCCACCCUCGCACCUGUUCCCGGAGGGUUGGGAGUGAGGCCUUGGCGAGUGGAAGUGGGACACACUGAAUAAUAAUUCUCUUGGCAAAAAGCACAGUUGGCAGGAUCGGGUGUCUCGAUCAUCCUCACCCCCUCAAGACAGGUAAGCCAAGACCCUCACCUCCCCGGGCUGGACCUCAGCCUGCCCUGCUCGGGCCCUGGUACUCAGAGCUGAGGCUGUGGCCCCCACUUGUCCAGCAGAGCUCCGGUACCCACCUGCACCCAGCACCCAUUCCUG